GCAAGUCGAGGGGUAACAGGGAUUGCUUGCAAUCCGCUGACGACCGGCGCACGGGUGCGUAACGCGUAUGCAACCUACCUUUUACUGGGGAUAGUCAAGAGAAAUUUUGAAUAAUACCCCAUACAAUCUGAUUCACUCCUGUGAAACAGAAGAAAAUUUCGAUGGUAAAAGAUGGGCAUGCGUCCUAUUAGUUUGUUGGUGAGGUAACGGCUCACCAAGACUGCGAUAGGUAGGGGUCCUGAGAGGGAGAUCCCCCACACUGGUACUGAGACACGGACCAGACUCCUACGGGAGGCAGCAGUGAGGAAUAUUGGACAAUGGAGGAAACUCUGAUCCAGCCAUGCCGCGUGCAGGAAGACGGCCCUAUGGGUUGUAAACUGCUUUUAUACAGGAAGAAACGUUAGUACGUGUACUAGCCUGACGGUACUGUAAGAAUAAGGAUCGGCUAACUCCGUGCCAGCAGCCGCGGUAAUACGGAGGAUCCAAGCGUUAUCCGGAAUCAUUGGGUUUAAAGGGUCCGCAGGCGGUCUAAUAAGUCAGAGGUGAAAUCCUAUCGCUCAACGAUAGAACUGCCUUUGAUACUGUUAGACUUGAGUUAUUGUGAAGUAGUUAGAAUGUGUAGUGUAGCGGUGAAAUGCAUAGAUAUUACACAGAAUACCGAUUGCGAAGGCAGAUUACUAACAAUACACUGACGCUCAGGGACGAAGGGGUGGGUAGCGAACAGGAUUAGAUACCCUGGUAGUCCACGCCGUAAGCGAU
RNAcentral lists this ribosomal RNA (759 nucleotides) under uncultured marine bacterium. RNAcentral's name for it is "bacterial SSU rRNA". It matches the Rfam family "Bacterial small subunit ribosomal RNA", at positions 57 to 810 of the family's 1533-position model. The record is from RNAcentral.